Papilio polytes (common Mormon) is the source of this 614-nucleotide long non-coding RNA. RefSeq lists it as uncharacterized. The transcript has 2 exons. The record is from RefSeq and is a predicted model, not a curated record. NCBI's taxonomy places the organism in Eukaryota, Metazoa, Arthropoda, Insecta, Lepidoptera, Papilionidae.
UGAAAAUAAGGUUUCCAGGGUGCACAAUCUCAGUACAUUUAACUUGGAAAUCCGAAGAUAAAAUACUGCAAUAUAACGGAGCACCUUAAAUCUAUUUUGAUAAUAAAAAACAGACUAAUUUUGUUUUUAGUAGUAUUAUAUUUGUUAUAUAUGCCAACGCGCAGUAACAGAUGGCUGUUUUACCAAUAAAAAAUUACUAGUUCAAUUAAUAUACGAUAGAUGCCGCUAUUUAGUAGCUCUUCUUGUAGUGUUUUUUUUUUGUGUAUUUGUUGAAUGAAACCUUUUUUCAACUCUGAUUUACUUCUUUUUAAUUGUCACUUGUAAUUCGAUGUCAGUUCAAUAAGUAAAAUGUCUAUUACAUUUAUUUAUCGUUAAAGUACUCUGUAUUAUCGUUUAAUUGAAAAUACUCAACAGUAUUUAGGUAGGUGCAGUCCUGAUUGUAAAGAAAGAGGAGGUAUGCAUCAAGUACUACAACUUGUACAACUGAUGUCACUGAUGUUUAUGUAUGAUUUCUCAUCUCAAUACGUACCGCGUAACACCGUAGGAUAUAUGAAAUAUGAGAUUGUAUAAAAUGUGAUUGUUGAUACUUAUAAUAUACUUGUUAACUAUGUGAA